Molecule: ribosomal RNA, 532 nt
Filed under: Crocidura hikmiya
Lineage: Eukaryota; Metazoa; Chordata; Mammalia; Eulipotyphla; Soricidae
Description: partial 16S ribosomal RNA
Rfam family: Bacterial large subunit ribosomal RNA
Source: RNAcentral
CACCUCUAGCAUCACUAGUAUUAGAGGCACUGCCUGCCCAGUGACAUUAGUUUAACGGCCGCGGUAUCCUGACCGUGCAAAGGUAGCAUAAUCAUUUGUUCCUUAAUUAGGGACUUGUAUGAAUGGCCUCACGAGGGUUUAACUGUCUCUUACUUUUAAUCAGUGAAAUUGACCUUCCCGUGAAGAGGCGGGAAUGCAAAAAUAAGACGAGAAGACCCUAUGGAGCUUAAAUUAAAGUGUCCAACAGAACCCAAACUUAACCCAACAGGGAUAAUAAUACUCUAACUGGACAACAAAUUUUGGUUGGGGUGACCUCGGAGUAUAAUAAAACCUCCGAGCGAUUUUAACCAAGACUUACCCGUCAAGGUUAUAUAAUUUAUUGAUCCAAUCAUAUUGAUCAACGAAACAAGUUACCCUAGGGAUAACAGCGCAAUCCUAUUCAAGAGUUCAUAUCGACAAUAGGGUUUACGACCUCGAUGUUGGAUCAGGACACCCAAAUGGUGCAGCAGCUAUUAAAGGUUCGUUUGUUCAA